Aedes albopictus (Asian tiger mosquito) is the source of this 74-nucleotide non-coding RNA. The record is from Rfam. Lineage: Eukaryota; Metazoa; Arthropoda; Insecta; Diptera; Culicidae.
UGUUCUGUGGCUUAGUUAAUUGAAGCGCCAGUCCAUCGAAUACGGAGUCGUGGGUUUGAAUCCCAUCAGAACGC